AGCGAACGCUGGCGGCAGGCUUAACACAUGCAAGUCGAGCGGGCACUUCGGUGUCAGCGGCAGACGGGUGAGUAACACGUGGGAACGUACCCUUUGGCUCGGAAUAACGCUGGGAAACUAGCGCUAAUACCGGAUACGCCCUUUUGGGGAAAGGCUUGCUGCCGAAGGAUCGGCCCGCGUCUGAUUAGCUAGUUGGUGGGGUAAUGGCCUACCAAGGCGACGAUCAGUAGCUGGUCUGAGAGGAUGAUCAGCCACACUGGGACUGAGACACGGCCCAGACUCCUACGGGAGGCAGCAGUGGGGAAUAUUGGACAAUGGGCGCAAGCCUGAUCCAGCCAUGCCGCGUGAGUGAUGAAGGCCUUAGGGUUGUAAAGCUCUUUUGUCCGGGACGAUAAUGACGGUACCGGAAGAAUAAGCCCCGGCUAACUUCGUG
RNAcentral lists this ribosomal RNA (433 nucleotides) under uncultured bacterium. Its description in RNAcentral is "partial 16S ribosomal RNA". It matches the Rfam family "Bacterial small subunit ribosomal RNA", at positions 29 to 507 of the family's 1533-position model. The record is from RNAcentral.